UUGUAAGCCCAGUAAGAUUGAGCUAAGGCUAUGUUUAGAGGUUGUGGCUGCUGCGGGGACAGUCGGUAUUGAUGUUGCUGCUGUGGAAUAAGAAUAAAAAUGUAGUUUGUCGCGUAGUUGGAUCGCGAAUGAGCUUUACCUUUUCAGGAACCAGAUGAAGAA
Non-coding RNA from Arachis ipaensis, 162 nucleotides. NCBI's taxonomy places the organism in Eukaryota, Viridiplantae, Streptophyta, Magnoliopsida, Fabales, Fabaceae. The record is from RefSeq and is a predicted model, not a curated record.